AGAGAUGCACUGGGGUUUAAAGCGUGCGCAGGCGGUUUUGUAAGACAGAGGUGAAAUCCCCGGGCUCAACCUGGGAACUGCCUUUGUGACUGCAAGGCCGGAGUGCGGCAGAGGGGGAUGGAAUUCCGCGUGUAGCAGUGAAAUGCGUAGAUAUGCGGAGGAACACCGAUGGCGAAGGCAAUCCCCUGGGCCUGCACUGACGCUCAUGCACGAAAGCGUGGGGAGCAAACA
RNAcentral lists this ribosomal RNA (231 nucleotides) under uncultured Alicycliphilus sp. Its description in RNAcentral is "partial 16S ribosomal RNA". It matches the Rfam family "Bacterial small subunit ribosomal RNA", at positions 556 to 774 of the family's 1533-position model. Lineage: Bacteria; Pseudomonadati; Pseudomonadota; Betaproteobacteria; Burkholderiales; Comamonadaceae. The record is from RNAcentral.